Molecule: unclassified non-coding RNA, 405 nt
Filed under: soil metagenome
Description: partial contains 5.8S ribosomal RNA, internal transcribed spacer 2, and large subunit ribosomal RNA
Rfam family: 5.8S ribosomal RNA (bases 1-121)
Source: RNAcentral
GAUGAAGAACGCAGUGAAAUGCGAUAAGUAAUGUGAAUUGCAGAAUUCAGUGAAUCAUCGAAUCUUUGAACGCACCUUGCGCCCUUUGGCCAUUCCGAAGGGCAUGCCUGUUUGAGUAUCAUGAACACCUCAACUCUUUAUGGUUUUCCAUGAUGAGCUUGGACUCUGGGGGUUUUGCUGGCUCACAGUCGGCUCCUCUAAAAUGAAUCAGCUUACCAGUGUUUGGUGGGUAUCAUGGGUGUGAUAACUAUCUACGCUUGUGGUUUUUCCACCAGGUAACCUUCAGCAGUGGAGGUUCGCUGGAGCUCAUAGAUGUCUCUCCUCAGUGAGGACAGCCCUUUGAAUGUUUGAUCUCAAAUCAGGUAGGACUACCCGCUGAACUUAAGCAUAUCAAUAAGCGGAGGA